ACUCAAAUGAAUUGACGGGAAUCUACACAAGCGGUGGAGCAUGUGGUUUAAUGCGAUGCCACGCGCAAAACCUUACCAAUUUUUGUAUAUUAGAUAAUUAAAUGAUAAAUAAUUUAAUUAAUAAAAAUCUAUUACAGGUGUUGCAUGGCUGUCGUCAGCUCGUGUUGUGAAAUGUAUGAUUUGGUUCAGUAACGAGCGCAAUCCUUAUAUUUAAUUGCCAAAUAAAAGAAUUUAAAUUUUAUUAUUUAAAUUUAUUUUAGGAACUUUAAAUAGACUGCCUAUAAUAAAUAGGAGGAAGGAAAGGAUAACGUCAAGCCCUCAUGACCCUUAUAAAUUGGGCUACACACGUGCUACAAUGAUAAUUACAAUGGGGUACAAUAUUGCAAAAUGAAGUAAAUCCUUAAAAAUUAUCUUAGUUCAGAUUAUUCUCUGCAACUCGAGAAUAUGAAGGUGGAAUCGCUAGUAAUCGUAAAUCAGCACGUUACGGUGAAUAUGUUCCUAGAUUUUGCACACACCGCCCGU
Molecule: ribosomal RNA, 522 nt
Filed under: uncultured bacterium
Lineage: Bacteria
Description: partial 16S ribosomal RNA
Rfam family: Bacterial small subunit ribosomal RNA
Source: RNAcentral